GAGGGUAUAGCUCAGUGGUAAAGUGCAUGCCUAGCAUGCACGAAGUCCUGGGUUCAAUUCCCAGUACCUCUG
RNAcentral lists this transfer RNA (72 nucleotides) under Camelus bactrianus (Bactrian camel). It matches the Rfam family "tRNA". Rfam says of the family: Transfer RNA (tRNA) molecules are approximately 80 nucleotides in length. Their secondary structure includes four short double-helical elements and three loops (D, anti-codon, and T loops). The record is from Rfam by way of RNAcentral. Lineage: Eukaryota; Metazoa; Chordata; Mammalia; Artiodactyla; Camelidae. RNAcentral also lists the same sequence under 2 other names.